GAAGAGGUCAGGGGGGAGGGGGGGCGAGUGUCUUUAUCAUGUUGGUCUGUUGACAGAAAGCAUAGCUGCGUCAUGUGACUCCACUAAUCAGGUCAUAGGAGCAGCUUUGAGUCACAGACAGAGAUACUGCAGCAUGUGUGUGCGAGUAACCACGGCAACGGCGCACCUGGGCUCAUUAACGAGCUGCUGCAAAGGGCAGACACAGGACAGCGAGUUACAUAGAAUCCACACCUCAAACAAAUGACAACCAGCGCAAAACUAUAACAGCUAUCUAAAAAAUAUGGCGUUUGUGCGAGACCCAAGACUCUACCGAACGCAGGGAGGUGUUAUUUAUGUCUGUCCGGUAAAAAAUACGGCUCUUGUCGAAGUUUACAAAACGUGUACCUUCUGGAUUUUUUAGAAAUAUGUUGGCAGAUUUGUAUUGGAGCCUAUGGGGCUUUUAGCAGAGGUUGUGUGACUGUUGGUCUCCGUAUGCCAAAACUAAAGAACUCUGGGAUUCUAUGAACACAUUAAUCCAAUCAGCACAACCAUGCCCUCAUUAAUCUGAAGAAAUGAAGCAUCAAAAGUGUAUACUUUGGCUGUAAGGACAGAAGUUCCAUAUUUUUCUAACCAGAUUCUGACGCUGCCUCACACUCUAAGAUCUCCUGGUCUCACUCUAGCAGACGCAAUACACACUCGUGUAAAAGUCAGAAACGGAGCGAAGAACUAGUGAAACAUAAUCAGUGAUUAUGAAAAAAGUAGAAUAGAUAUCAACAAGCAGUUUAUUUCAUAAAAUAGUUGAGACCUGUGUCAACAUUUGAAAGUUUAAAUGGUGUCUGUAGCUGAAAGAUUGGCGGCGCUGAAGAGUCUGAAAGUUGAAGAAGUUUAAGAGGAUUUGAAAACAAUCUCCAUUGGAAAACCAUGUUAAAAUAUUAAUGAUUAUUGAUUUAUAUAAAUUCAAGCAUAAGAGGUAGAAAGCUGAAAAGCUAUAACCCUAAAGCCAGAAAGGAGCUGAAGAUUUUAAUAUUUUAACGGUUUUAAUAGCUGAAAGUGUGAAGGAGUUGAAAGGUGCCACGGAAGAAAUAGAAUAGGUAGAAAUAAAGAAUAGAAGAACAAUACUUGGAAUGCUUAAUGCAUGCCAUGAAAAUAUUGAAAUUGCCAAUGGCUUUGCUGAAAAAGUGUUAAUGCCAAAAAGUCAAGACCAGCACACCAGAAAAACAUCAUAUUUGAGCAUUCAGGGAGUAAUAUUAGCAGUAUUAGUAUCAAGAGCUGCAGUAGUAGCAGUCGUAGUAGCAUCAUAGUGACUGUAGCAGCAGCAGGUGUAGUUGUAAAAAUCAGUAGUAGUCUCAGUGUUGUAUCGAGUAUAAAGCAGACAGUGACCUCAUGACAAACAUUUUAUUUGUUUACAUUUAGAAUACAAUUUUGUGAAUCAACAAUUUAAAAAUAAUUAAAACAGUAAUUAGUAAUAUCAUGUCAAGACUAACACACAGAACAGCCUAAUAUAUUGCACAUGCAAAAAUAUAAAUCACUCGAUUUUAUUGAGGAAAAACCAUAGCAAUUAUAAAAAUGUCAAUAAAGAGUCUCUGUACACAUGGAAAUGAAAAAUGGCAAAGUAAAAAGGGUUUUCUCUUUGUAUAUUUAAUUGUUCAAGUAAGGAUGACUUAUUCAUCUGAAAUAAGUUACAGUUAAAUUGAUUCAUCAUAAUUUAAGUGCUCUCAAGUGAAUUAAAAACAGAGAAUUGGAAAUAAAGAAAAAGGAAACCCUUUCUGCAGAAGCCGUUUUUAUCCACAAAGAUCCCACAAGAUGAACCCAUAGUGCCUAUAAGAAAAACUUUUUAAAUAGAUGUAUACCACAGACCAGGCAGAACAUUAUUUUGUCACUACCAGUAGUUUGAGGUGUGUGCUAUAUUUCAAAAGAUGCAUUUACAUCCCAUCUUUACAUCCUUUUUUGACUCAUUAUCGUCUAUCGAAAUAUAAUAAAAUAAUAUAGAUAAUGUUACGUCCCCUGUUCUGUGUAUAGGUAUGUGUUCUGUUUCGUGUGUGUGUGUGUGUUCAUACAGGUGGUACUGAUCAUCUAUGAUCUCCGUUCAUCUUGGCUCCACCCACUCUCGUUACCCGGUUCAGCUGUUUCCACUCAUCUCCAAUCCCAUCAUGCCCUUCUGUCAGUAUAUGUACCCCUGUGUUUGUUUCACCCGGGUGGGUGUCACUGGAUGUGUAUAUGGGGAUGAGGAGUAGUUUAGCCCUGCUCUGGAGUUUACAUACCUGCACGUAGUGUUACUCUCCUGUCUAACAACACUAGCUACACCUGGCUGGGCCACCUACUGUAAGUUUGGUUAGGGUGCCUUGUUAGUGUGCCAGUUAGUGGUUUUCGUUGGGAGAUAGGACAGGUAAGGGGGUGGGAGGCAUUUUGUUCUUUUCUUUGCUUUGGUACCGCCAGCCCUCCUCAUUUCCCCUGUUAACAGCGCUUAAAUAAAAGCCUGCUUACCCUAA
Molecule: long non-coding RNA, 2468 nt
Organism: Gasterosteus aculeatus aculeatus (three-spined stickleback)
Lineage: Eukaryota; Metazoa; Chordata; Actinopteri; Perciformes; Gasterosteidae
Source: Ensembl